GAGUUUGAUCCUGGCUCAGAACGAACGCUGGCGGCAGGCCUAACACAUGCAAGUCGAGCGCAUCCUUCGGGAUGAGCGGCGGACGGGUGAGUAACGCGUGGGAACGUGCCCAGAUCUACGGAAUAGCCACUGGAAACGGUGAUUAAUGCCGUAUACGCCCUUCGGGGGAAAGAUUUUUCGGAUUUGGAUCGGCCCGCGUUAGAUUAGGUAGUUGGUGGGGUAAUGGCCUACCAAGCCGACGAUCUAUAGCUGGUCUGAGAGGAUGAUCAGCCACACUGGGACUGAGACACGGCCCAGACUCCUACGGGAGGCAGCAGUGGGGAAUCUUAGACAAUGGGGGAAACCCUGAUCUAGCCAUGCCGCGUGAGUGAUGAAGGCCCUAGGGUUGUAAAACUCUUUCAGCUGGGAAGAUAAUGACGGUACCAGCAGAAGAAGCCCCGGCUAACUCCGUGCCAGCAGCCGCGGUAAUACGGAGGGGGCUAGCGUUGUUCGGAAUUACUGGGCGUAAAGCGCGCGUAGGCGGAUUGGAAAGUUGGGGGUGAAAUCCCGGGGCUCAACCUCGGAACUGCCUCCAAAACUAUCAAUCUUGAGUUCGAGAGAGGUGAGUGGAAUUCCAAGUGUAGAGGUGAAAUUCGUAGAUAUUAGGAGGAACACCAGUGGCGAAGGCGGCUCACUGGCUCGAUACUGACGCUGAGGUGCGAAAGUGUGGGGAGCAAACAGGAUUAGAUACCCUGGUAGUCCACACCGUAAACGAUGAAUGCCAGUCGUCGGGCAGUAUACUGUUCGGUGACACACCUAACGGAUUAAGCAUUCCGCCUGGGGAGUACGGUCGCAAGAUUAAAACUCAAAGGAAUUGACGG
This 860-nucleotide ribosomal RNA is filed under the name uncultured Paracoccus sp. RNAcentral describes it as "bacterial SSU rRNA". It matches the Rfam family "Bacterial small subunit ribosomal RNA", at positions 9 to 916 of the family's 1533-position model. Lineage: Bacteria; Pseudomonadati; Pseudomonadota; Alphaproteobacteria; Rhodobacterales; Paracoccaceae. The record is from RNAcentral.